UCAGUAAAGCGCCAGAACCGCAUAUGUGCGUGAAAUGAUAUGCGGUUGACGAGGAGAGGACAGUAUCGAGUGUUUCGGCGGGUGGUCCUCCGGCGGCAGAGCGAAGAUGGAUUCUGCCGUCGUUAUGCAUCCAACAAAGCCGGGCGGAAGCCGCGGCACAAAAAAGAUG
RNAcentral lists this non-coding RNA (169 nucleotides) under human gut metagenome. RNAcentral describes it as "glmS glucosamine-6-phosphate activated ribozyme". It matches the Rfam family "glmS glucosamine-6-phosphate activated ribozyme aptamer", at positions 9 to 155 of the family's 167-position model. Rfam says of the family: This entry contains a glucosamine-6-phosphate activated ribozyme that is found in the mRNA for GlmS. RNAcentral also lists the same sequence under 1 other name. The record is from RNAcentral.